GAUGAACGCUGGCGGCGUGCCUAAUACAUGCAAGUCGAGCGAACAGACGAUGAGCUUGCUCCUCUGACGUUAGCGGCGGACGGGUGAGUAACACGUAGAUAACCUACCUAUAAGACUGGGAUAACUUCGGGAAACCGGAGCUAAUACUGGAUAAUAUAUUGAACCGCAUGGAUCAAUAGUUAAUGUAGGUUUUGCUGUAACUUUUAGAUGGAUCCGCGCCGCAUUAGCUAGUUGGUAAGGUCACGGCUUACCAAGGCAACGAGGCGUAGCCGAACUGAGAGGGUGAGCAGCCACACUGGGACUGAGACCCGGUCCAGACUCCAACGGGAGGCAGCAGUAGGGAAUCUUCCGGAAUGGGCGGAAGCCUGACGGAGCAACGCCGCGUGGGUGAUGAAGGUCUUCGGAUCGUAAAACUCUGUUAUUAGGAAAGAACAAAUGUGUAAGUAACGAUGCACGUCUUGACGGUACCUAAUCAGAAAGCCACGGCUAACUACGUG
This 497-nucleotide ribosomal RNA is filed under the name uncultured bacterium. RNAcentral describes it as "partial 16S ribosomal RNA". It matches the Rfam family "Bacterial small subunit ribosomal RNA", at positions 28 to 507 of the family's 1533-position model. The record is from RNAcentral.